CCUCUAUCGGCGAGGCAAAGGCCCGAUCGACGUAUUCAAGUCGGGUUUGCGAGGAGGACCAGAACGAGCUUGAAAUUGGAGACAUCCUCGACAAGUACGGCUUCAAAUUGGUCUCUUCCGCCAUAGCUCCCAUCGGUCAGUGGCACAGCCAGCCACCUCCAAGUCCACAGCAGCGAGUCAGUCUAGGAGGGCAUACCUGACGUUCUUAGCCGGAGACGGUGACUACGUGAAGGUCGUGGUGGGGCUCGCAAAGGGCCUGAGGAAGGAGCACCGACGUGUGUUGGUGGCUCAGGGAUGUAUAGUCCGACAGAUCGAACCAGCGUACCCAACCGACAAUGGGACAAAGUUCGCCUGGGAUCAACUACUCCAAGCUUCACAUCUGGGGGGUAACUCUUUAUCUCUAAUUUUUAUACAAUGAAACACAAUAAAUUAUUUAGGGUGUGUUUGGUAAUGUUUAUGUUUUCAGUUUAUAUUUACAAAAUAUUUA
Camellia sinensis is the source of this 487-nucleotide non-coding RNA. The record is from RefSeq and is a predicted model, not a curated record. NCBI's taxonomy places the organism in Eukaryota, Viridiplantae, Streptophyta, Magnoliopsida, Ericales, Theaceae.